AAAAAAAGGGUAAACAGCCAAGUGUGGAUCUGGUAACGAUACACAGCUUGAAGUUGCCAACUUGAAGGUGAAAUGGAUUAUUGCAAGAAAGAAGGAAAGGUCAGAGAACUCAUUGUGACUGCUUAAGUGGUGAAAAGAAGCAGAAUGAAGCAAUGAAGUCCAUGGAACAUACCUUCACCAAUGGAUUAAUAACACCAACAUUAGGGCUUGCAUUAAACACUUUGUUGUAGUUAGUC
Phasianus colchicus (ring-necked pheasant) is the source of this 236-nucleotide long non-coding RNA. RefSeq lists it as uncharacterized. Lineage: Eukaryota; Metazoa; Chordata; Aves; Galliformes; Phasianidae. The record is from RefSeq and is a predicted model, not a curated record.